UUGAAAGGGAAACGAUUGAAGUCAGUCGUACCAGCGGGAAUCAACCUUUCGAGUGGGGNNUUUGGAGUUUUGAAGAGUUUCAAAACCUUUGAGAUUUCAAAAAUUUCGCUCUUUUGGUGUACUUUCUCGUGGGUAGGUUAACAUCGAUUUCGAUCAUCAUAAAAGGAUUGGAGGAAUGUAGCUUCGAUCUUGUAUUGAAGUGUUAUAGCCUUUGGUAAAUGUGAUGAUUGGGAUCGAGGAUUGCAACGAAUACCCUUUUGGGCUAUCCGCCUGAUCUCUGAUACGUGGCCUUGGCAUCGAAAGCUUGCUUAUGGUAUCAAGGUAUUACGGUCAAAAGGUUAGAACGGAUUACAUUCGUUAAGGAUGUUGACGUA
Molecule: ribosomal RNA, 374 nt
Filed under: uncultured Glomeromycotina
Lineage: Eukaryota; Fungi; Glomeromycota
Description: LSU rRNA
Source: RNAcentral